UACGUAGGGUGCAAGCGUUGUCCGGAAUCACUGGGCGUAAAGGGCGCGUAGGCGGCCUGAUAAGUAGGGGGUGAAAUCCUGCGGCUUAACCGCAGGGCUGCCUUCUAAACUGUCAGGCUAGAGCACAGUAGAGGCAGGUGGAAUUCCCGGUGUAGCGGUGGAAUGCGUAGAGAUCGGGAAGAACAUCAGUGGCGAAGGCGGCCUGCUGGGCUGUUGCUGACGCUGAGGCGCGACAGCGUGGGGAGCAAACAGG
This 253-nucleotide ribosomal RNA is filed under the name uncultured bacterium. Its description in RNAcentral is "partial 16S ribosomal RNA". It matches the Rfam family "Bacterial small subunit ribosomal RNA", at positions 524 to 776 of the family's 1533-position model. The record is from RNAcentral.